GGAAGGGGUGUAUUUAUUAGAUAAAAAACCAACGCCCUUCGGGGCUCCUUGGUGAAUCAUGAUAACUUAACGAAUCGCAUGGCCUUGCGCCGGCGAUGAUUCACUCAAAUUUCUGCCCUAUCAACUUUCGAUGGUAGGAUAGUGGCCUACCAUGGUGGUAACGGGUAACGGGGAAUUAGGGUUCGAUUCCGGAGAGGGAGCCUGAGAAACGGCUACCACAUCCAAGGAAGGCAGCAGGCGCGCAAAUUACCCAAUCCCGAUACGGGGAGGUAGUGACAAUAAAUACUGAUACAGGGCUCUUUUGGGUCGUGUAAUUGGAAUGAGUACAAUCUAAACCCCUUAACGAGGAACAAUUGGAGGGCAAGUCUGGUGCCAGCAGCC
RNAcentral lists this ribosomal RNA (381 nucleotides) under uncultured Thermomyces. RNAcentral's name for it is "SSU rRNA". It matches the Rfam family "Eukaryotic small subunit ribosomal RNA", at positions 194 to 575 of the family's 1831-position model. Lineage: Eukaryota; Fungi; Ascomycota. The record is from RNAcentral.